Molecule: ribosomal RNA, 253 nt
Filed under: uncultured bacterium
Lineage: Bacteria
Description: partial 16S ribosomal RNA
Rfam family: Bacterial small subunit ribosomal RNA
Source: RNAcentral
GACGAACCGUGCGAACGUUGUUCGGAAUCACUGGGCUUAAAGGGCGCGUAGGCGGGCCUACAAGUCCGGGGUGAAAGCCCCCAGCUCAACUGGGGAAGUGCCUUGGAAACUGCAGGUCUUGAGGGAGGUAGGGGCAUGUGGAACUUCGGGUGGAGCGGUGAAAUGCGUUGAUAUCCGAAGGAACGCCGGUGGCGAAAGCGACGUGCUGGACCUUUUCUGACGCUGAGGCGCGAAAGCCAGGGUAGCGAACGGG